UAGGGAAUCUUCCGCAAUGGACGAAAGUCUGACGGAGCAAUGCCGCGUGAGUGAAGAAGGUUUUCGGAUCGUAAAACUCUGUUGUUAGAGAAGAACAAGGAUGAGAGUAACUGCUCAUCCCCUGACGGUAUCUAACCAGAAAGCCACGGCUAACUACGUGCCAGCAGCCGCGGUAAUACGUAGGUGGCAAGCGUUGUCCGGAUUUAUUGGGCGUAAAGCGAGCGCAGGCGGUUCUUUAAGUCUGAUGGG
Molecule: ribosomal RNA, 249 nt
Filed under: uncultured Carnobacterium sp.
Lineage: Bacteria; Bacillati; Bacillota; Bacilli; Lactobacillales; Carnobacteriaceae
Description: partial 16S ribosomal RNA
Rfam family: Bacterial small subunit ribosomal RNA
Source: RNAcentral